RNAcentral lists this ribosomal RNA (460 nucleotides) under uncultured bacterium. RNAcentral's name for it is "partial 16S ribosomal RNA". It matches the Rfam family "Bacterial small subunit ribosomal RNA", at positions 338 to 795 of the family's 1533-position model. The record is from RNAcentral.
CCUACGGGUGGCUGCAGUGAGGAAUAUUGGUCAAUGGACGAGAGUCUGAACCAGCCAAGUAGCGUGAAGGAUGACUGCCCUAUGGGUUGUCAACUUCUUUUAUAUGGGAAUAAAAUGUUCCACGUGUGGGAUUUUGUAUGUAACAUAUGAAUAAGGCUCGGCUAACUCCGUGCCAGCAGCCGCGGUAAUACGGAGGAUCCGUGCGUUAUCCGGAUUUAUUGGGUUUAAAGGGAGCGCAGGUGGAUCGUUAAGUCAGUUGUGAAAGUUUGCGGCUCAAACGUAAAAUUGCAGUUGAAACUGGGAGUCUUGAGUACAGUAGAGGUGGGCGGAAUUCGUGGUGUAGCGGUGAAAUGCUUAGAGAUCACGAAGAACUCAGAUUGCGAAGGCAGUUCACUGGACUACAACUGACACUGAGGCUCGAAAGUGUGGGUAUCAAACAGGAUUAGAUACCCGAGUAGUC